RNAcentral lists this transfer RNA (81 nucleotides) under synthetic construct. The record is from RNAcentral.
GGCGCGGGGUACCGGGCUUGGUAGCCCGGGGCUUCGGCCGAGGGCGAGAGCCCUCGGGGUUCGAUUCCCCCCCUGCGCCGC